GGAUGUGAGGGUGCUUUGGUUCUGACAAGUCACCCAUUGAUCGCCAGGGUCGAGUCGGCUGAUCGGGCUGGCUAGGCGGGUGUACCCUUCCCUCAUAGCUCCAUGCGUGCCCCUACCAAAGCUGCGCGCUCGGGACCACGACCAUCCCUGCUAGAGGACCCGUCUUCCGUCAAGGGCACGCAAACAGCCGCACUCCCCUGCUAGAACCUCCAAAGAAAGGGGUGCCCAGGCUGCACUGCACA
Unclassified non-coding RNA from Ochotona princeps (American pika), 242 nucleotides. Its record names the gene 7SK. It matches the Rfam family "7SK RNA". From Rfam's summary of the family: 7SK was discovered as an abundant small nuclear RNA in the mid-70s but a possible function has only recently been suggested. Two independent studies have found that 7SK RNA binds the CDK9/cyclin T complex (known as elongation factor P-TEFb). NCBI's taxonomy places the organism in Eukaryota, Metazoa, Chordata, Mammalia, Lagomorpha, Ochotonidae. The record is from Ensembl.